RNAcentral lists this ribosomal RNA (526 nucleotides) under uncultured bacterium. RNAcentral's name for it is "bacterial SSU rRNA". It matches the Rfam family "Bacterial small subunit ribosomal RNA", at positions 982 to 1509 of the family's 1533-position model. The record is from RNAcentral.
GUACAUCCAGAGACUUAGCAGAGAUGCUUUGGUGCCUUCGGGAACUCUGAGACAGGUGCUGCAUGGCUGUCGUCAGCUCGUGUUGUGAAAUGUUGGGUUAAGUCCCGNAACGAGCGCAACCCUUAUCCUUUGUUGCCAGCGGUUCGGCCGGGAACUCAAAGGAGACUGCCGGUGAUAAACCGGAGGAAGGUGGGGAUGACGUCAAGUCAUCAUGGCCCUUACGGCCAGGGCUACACACGUGCUACAAUGGCGCAUACAAAGAGAAGCGACCUCGCGAGAGCAAGCGGACCUCAUAAAGUGCGUCGUAGUCCGGAUUGGAGUCUGCAACUCGACUCCAUGAAGUCGGAAUCGCUAGUAAUCGUAGAUCAGAAUGCUACGGUGAAUACGUUCCCGGGCCUUGUACACACCGCCCGUCACACCAUGGGAGUGGGUUGCAAAAGAAGUAGGUAGCUUAACCUUCGGGAGGGCGCUUACCACUUUGUGAUUCAUGACUGGGGUGAAGUCGUAACAAGGUAAGCGUAGCGAG